CCUGGUGACAGAGCAAGAAAUUAAAAAAGAAAAAGAAAAAGAUUCAACUCCCCUUCUCCUUCCCUGCUUACUUGCUACUCCGUUGCCAUUUUUCAGACCAGUGAACUUGUCUCUGCCCUUGUCUCAUUCCUCAGUCAACUACUUGAAAUAUACAUUUUCAUCUUGUUUUCCUUCUUUAUGGCCACUGUCUCUUGCCUCCUCAAAUCCUAUCUUAUAUUCCACGUGACUCACGCCCUUCUCUGCUCUGACUUGUCUUAUCCCAGGAGCCAGUUGUCCAGCACAGUGUAAUGGGACAAUGGGCCCUGGUGCCACAAUGCCCGACAUCUCCACCAGAUACAGCUUUGAUAUCUUCAUGAUGAAGCUUGCUCCAAUCCAAGGGCUUUGAGGUGGGGUUUGCUGUUCAACUGCUAACUUUUCUUUGAUCCAAAUCCUGUCUUCACUGGCUUCAAGAAUCCUGUGUUCACUGGCUUCAAAACUGGGAUGAAGGAGCCUCCUUAGUGGAGAGCAAACCAAAGAGAAACUCAAAUUGGAUUCACAUUAAAGAAGAGAAGGAUGGAUUUUUUAGACAACACAAACCCAGGAAGGGUUUGAGGGGUGAAACAAACUGGGUUAUGGAUGAACAGCGGGUAAUUGGAAUAUAGAAUUGAAACAGUAAUUAACAUCUUGGUAAGUUACCCACCAUAAAAUGCUUUAGAGCAAGAUAGAUUUUUGUUUUUCUGUUUUUUCUUCUAUUUCUUCUUUUCUAUUUUUUUCUUUUUUCUAUAUUGUCGUGUAGGACACCCUCUUUUUUCCUCUAAUUUUGAGAUCCCCAUGAAUGAAAACAAAACAAAUAUUAAAAUAUUGCAUAGGAACAACACAAAUGGCUUUGGUAAUGCACAAACUGCAAGUGGAUUGGCUCUGUGUCAGCUGGUGCAUGUAGGAAGCUGAAGAAUAUUUUCUUGCCAACGUUUUGGAUCUUGAAAAUACAAGACUUAUUUUUUAGCGGGGGGUGGGCGCAAGGGUGCAAUCCAAUUAAAAAAAAAAAAAAGACUGUAUGACCAUUGUGUAGGAAGAGCUUCAGCUACCCUACGGCAGACAGUGAGUUGGUGUUCCACAAGUAACUGGGGGAGAUGAAGGGUACACUGUAGUCAGGGGGAGUCUCUCUGGGCCUAAAAUCACUAUAGAACAUUUUUCCAAAGUACCCUGGUGUCUGCACUGAUCCUGAGUGCUGGCACUUGCACUUUGUCACCACAUCCAUCUCAGAGCUGCCCCAGUGGCUGGAGACCUCUUGAAUAUCAGUAUCAUGCUGUCCCCCAACCUGGGGGAUUCGUUUUCCUCCCCUGCAGUAGACAUUCACGUGAAGGUUAAUCCACAGUUAGGAGUUACUUAACUCAAGCCUCAGAAAGCAUACACUGCAUCUUUAAGAAAUAGUUUACUUGUGAAUCAGUAAACGUACUAGACAAAGCAGCCAUUACUUAUGCAUUCCUGCAUACCCAGCAAGGUGAAAAUAAUAGAAUAAACAUCAUAUACUUCAUUAUGAUAUCGGUUUACACUUCCAGGGUACACAAAAAAAGGCCAUUUCAUCAAGCUAAUUGCCUGAAAGUAAAAGAGAGAGAACUUUAGCUAUUAGUCUAUUAUGGGGCUUUUUUCUUAAUCACAAAUAGGGGCCGUGUGUCCCUGGGGGGAUGUGUAUUCUAAUUUACAAUUGAACUACAGAUCAGAGCAAUCAAUCUUGGGCAGCACUUUUACAGUGUAAUUGCUGCAACAUAACAAAUAAAAAAAAAAAAAAGAGAGAGAGAGAGAGAGAGGAGGAGAAGAAGAAGGCCUAAGCUGAGCUUCAGCUUGAGGUGGAGAUAUUUCC
This is a long non-coding RNA of Cercocebus atys (sooty mangabey), 1840 nucleotides long. RefSeq lists it as uncharacterized. The transcript has 3 exons. The record is from RefSeq and is a predicted model, not a curated record. NCBI's taxonomy places the organism in Eukaryota, Metazoa, Chordata, Mammalia, Primates, Cercopithecidae.